UCUCUCGUAGCUUAGUGGACAGAGCAUUGGUUCAUUAAGCGAUAGGUUCCAGGUUCUAUUCCCGGCGAGGGCG
Molecule: transfer RNA, 73 nt
Filed under: Agrilus planipennis (emerald ash borer)
Lineage: Eukaryota; Metazoa; Arthropoda; Insecta; Coleoptera; Buprestidae
Rfam family: tRNA
About the family: Transfer RNA (tRNA) molecules are approximately 80 nucleotides in length. Their secondary structure includes four short double-helical elements and three loops (D, anti-codon, and T loops).
Source: Rfam by way of RNAcentral